CGAACGCGAACGUUCCCUUCGGGGAACAAGUAGAGUGGCGAAAGGGCGAGGAAUACAUGGGUAACGUGCCUCGAGCACGAGGACAGCCGGGGGAAACUCCGGUUAAUACUCGAUAAGACCACAGCACCGCAGGGUGCAGGGGUCAAAGGGUGGGGACCUUCGGGCCUGCCGGCUCGAGAGCGGCCCAUGUCCUAUCAGCUUGUUGGUGGGGUAACGGCCUACCAAGGCUACGACGGGUACCGGGACUGAGAGGUUGACCCGGCGCAUCGGGACUGAGACACUGCCCGGACUCCUACGGGAGGCUGCAGUAACGAAUAUUGGGCAAUGGGCGAAAGCCUGACCCAGCGACGCCGCGUGUGGGAAGAAUGCCUUCGGGUUGUAAACCACUGUCAGGGAUUACCAACCAACCGGUGUGAAUAGCGCCGGGAGUUGAGGAGUCCCAGAGGAAGUCACGGUUAACUUCGUGCCAGCAGCCGCGGUAAUACGAAGGUGGCUAGCGUUGUCCGGAAUCACUGGGCUUAAAGAGCACGUAGGCGGAUGAUCAAGCGUCUUGUGAAAGCCCUCGGCUCAACCGGGGAAUUGCUUGGCGAACUGAUCAUCUUGAGGCAGGUAGGGGCGAAGUGGAACUCUUGGUGGAGCGGUGGAAUGCUUAGAUAUCAAGAGGAACGCCAGAGGCGAAGGCGACUCGCUGGGCCUGACCUGACGCUGAGGUGCGAAAGCCAGGGGAGCGAACGGGAUUAGAUACCCCGGUAGUCCUGGCCCUAAACGAUGUCCACUAGGUCGGUGAGGUUCUAAUGCUUUUGCUGGCCGAUACAAUAGCGUUAACGUGGACCCGCCUGGGGAGUACGGUACCGCAAGGCUAAACUCAAAGAAUGACGGGGUUAACACAACCGUUGACCAUUUGCUUAAUUCGAUCCAACGCGAAGACCCUUAUCCUGGGCCUUAGCAUACCCGUAUCCCUUCCUGAAACUAGUUCGGUUGCCCUUUCGGGUGAAACG
This 998-nucleotide ribosomal RNA is filed under the name uncultured organism. RNAcentral's name for it is "bacterial SSU rRNA". It matches the Rfam family "Bacterial small subunit ribosomal RNA", at positions 63 to 1029 of the family's 1533-position model. The record is from RNAcentral.